Molecule: microRNA, 21 nt
Filed under: Cordylochernes scorpioides
Lineage: Eukaryota; Metazoa; Arthropoda; Arachnida; Pseudoscorpiones; Chernetidae
Source: RNAcentral
GUACGUGAUGGCAGAUUCGAC